AAAAACAUUGCCUCUCGACUCAACAAUGAGAGGUUCAUCCUGCCCAAUGACAACAUAGUUCAAUGGCCGCGGUACCCUGACCGUGCAAAGGUAGCAUAAUCACUUGCCCCUUAAUUAGGGGCUGGCAUGAAAGGACACACGAAAGCUUCCCUGUCUCACAAUAACAAAUAAAAAUUAAUCUUCAAGUGAAAAAGCUUGAAUGAAACUGCAGGACAAGAAGACCCCGUUGAGCUUUAUUCUCUAUAGACUAAAUCAAAUAUUAAAUAUAUCAUAAACCUAAAAAGAAUUUAGUUGGGGUGACUAAGGAACACCAAAAACUUCCUUUUAUUAGUUAGGAUCAUUCUCCCUACAAAUUGACCCAUUACACAUGAUCAAAAAAAUAAGCUACCACAGGGAUAACAGGCUAAUCUUUCUCAAGAGCCCAAAUUGUCAGAAAGGAUUGGCACCUCGAUGUUGGCUUAGGGGCCCCUAAUGGUGCAGAAGCCAUAAAUGGUAGGUUUGUUCAACCUUUAAAACCCUACGUGAUC
This 527-nucleotide ribosomal RNA is filed under the name Lamellibrachia donwalshi. Its description in RNAcentral is "partial large subunit ribosomal RNA". It matches the Rfam family "Bacterial large subunit ribosomal RNA", at positions 1809 to 2605 of the family's 2925-position model. The record is from RNAcentral. Lineage: Eukaryota; Metazoa; Annelida; Polychaeta; Sabellida; Siboglinidae.